AUUUAAGUGUGUAUGUGUAAGUUUUAAAUUUACACCCUCCUGCUUGCCUUUUGUGGAGUCAACAAAAAGUGAGGGGACCAUGAUGGAGUUCAUAAAGAGGUCUGCACCAUAUCGGUGCAGACCAUAACACUCCCUUAGUAAAGUGAAAAGACUCAGAGCUAAGUAGGGAGAUCUUUUGAUCUCCCUGACGCCUCACUGUCAUAACCAGAGAUCAAGGCCCAGACAGGAACCUACCUAGGCUUUCUAAUGGGUAAUUCACUUCUGGUUUAUAUGGAAGAAAAAGGUCAAUUGUUUAUACUUGCCUCUCAGGUCAAAAGUUGCCAACUCUGGU
Molecule: non-coding RNA, 331 nt
Organism: Pelobates cultripes (western spadefoot toad)
Lineage: Eukaryota; Metazoa; Chordata; Amphibia; Anura; Pelobatidae
Source: the annotation of a GenBank genome assembly